CGCGUAGGCGGCCGAUCAAGUCAGGCGUGAAAGCCCCGGGCUCAACCUGGGAAUGGCGCUUGGGACUGGUUGGCUUGAGUUCGGGAGAGGGGAGUGGAAUUCCCAGUGUAGAGGUGAAAUUCGUAGAUAUUGGGAAGAACACCGGUGGCGAAGGCGGCUCUCUGGACCGAGACUGACGCUGAGGCGCGAAAGCGUGGGGAGCAAACA
Molecule: ribosomal RNA, 207 nt
Filed under: uncultured bacterium
Lineage: Bacteria
Description: partial 16S ribosomal RNA
Rfam family: Bacterial small subunit ribosomal RNA
Source: RNAcentral